This 497-nucleotide ribosomal RNA is filed under the name uncultured bacterium. Its description in RNAcentral is "partial 16S ribosomal RNA". It matches the Rfam family "Bacterial small subunit ribosomal RNA", at positions 28 to 507 of the family's 1533-position model. The record is from RNAcentral.
GAUGAACGCUGGCGGCGUGCCUAAUACAUGCAAGUCGAGCGAACGGACGAGAAGCUUGCUUCUCUGAUGUUAGCGGCGGACGGGUGAGUAACACGUGGAUAACCUACCUAUAAGACUGGGAUAACUUCGGGAAACCGGAGCUAAUACCGGAUGAUAUUUUGAACCGCAUGGUUCAAAAGUGAAAGACGGUCUUGCUGUCACUUAUAGAUGGAUCCGCGCUGCAUUAGCUAGUUGGUAAGGUAACGGCUUACCGAGGCAACGAUGCAUAGCCGACCUGAGAGGGUGAUCGGCCACACUGGAACUGAGACACGGUCCAGACUCCUACGGGAGGCAGCAGUAGGGAAUCUCCCGCAAUGGGCGAAAGCCUGACGGAGCAACGCCGCGUGAGUGAUGAAGGUCUUCGGAUCGUAAAACUCUGUUAUUAGGGAAGAACAUAUGUGUAAGUAACUGUGCACAUCUUGACGGUACCUAAUCAGAAAGCCACGGCUAACUACGUG